RNAcentral lists this unclassified non-coding RNA (245 nucleotides) under rhizosphere metagenome. RNAcentral's name for it is "partial ribosomal RNA internal transcribed spacer region". The record is from RNAcentral.
GUAGGUGAACCUGCGGAGGGAUCAUUACUGAAAGGUGCUAUGCCCUCGCCCUCCCGCCUGCGGCAACGCCGGCGGGUUGCGCCGGGGCUCCAUCCAUUCAAACCCCAUGUUAUCCGACACUGUUGCCUCGGGGGCGACCUGGCCCUACGGUCGGGGCCCCCGGCGGACCGUCAAACACUGUAUCUGUGCGUCCGAGUCCAAUGAUAAAUCAAUCAAAACUUUCAACAACGGAUCUCUUGGUUCUG